This is a long non-coding RNA of Nicotiana tabacum (common tobacco), 945 nucleotides long. RefSeq lists it as uncharacterized. NCBI's taxonomy places the organism in Eukaryota, Viridiplantae, Streptophyta, Magnoliopsida, Solanales, Solanaceae. The record is from RefSeq and is a predicted model, not a curated record.
UCAGAAUACUGCAUCCUAAAUGACGAAAGUUCAAUAGCCGAAAGCAUCAUUAGUUUAGGUUCUAGCUGCUUUUUGAAGAAUGAGCCGAUAGGUGUCUAUUUGUAUAGAAAAUAGCUGCUGAUAGAUUCCAGUAGUCGAUAUGCUUUGUGUGCUGAGGCAAGCACUAGGCGUUCUCAUUACAUUUUACUUUACUGCUAUUAAUAAGCGAGAACCGAGAGGAGCUUCCGGUUCAAGUGAAUUUCCAAAAAAAAAACAUAGAAUUUUACUUUAUUCCAUUUUUGUCCAUGUUUUCUAUUAGCACCCCCAGCUUAUACAAAAGCCCAACACCUGUGAAUUUAUAUGGACAAUUGUGCUGUAUAAGAAGUCCUAAUCAUCUGCUCAUCUUCUCUCCAUCGUGGUCUCUACUUUUUUUGUGUCAUUUUUCGAUCUACUCGAUUGUCUCAGUUGCUUCUCUUGCCAGCUCAAGGAAAUGGUGAAAAGAUGGUUGUGGUAGAACUCACAUUUGAUGUAGAAGUCCAAAAAACAACUCACAUUUGAUGUAGAAGUCCAAAAAACAACUCACAUUUGAUGAAAAAUCUGCAGCAGUUGUUCUAUUCUGACCAUGACACACUACCAUCCAGGAUAGUUAUAGUUGAAUUACUGAAAAUUAUCGGCAAGAAAAACCUGAACCAAAAGUUUGUGCAGAUAGAGAGAAACCUGGACCAAAUGAUUCUGCCAAUAGAGAGCUCUAGAAUAGAAUUGACAUGUCGAUGCUGCUGUUUUUCCAGUGCGACUUCCCUUUAUUCUUGAUGAUGAUAGAAGGAUUUUUGUUGGACUUCAUACUGUUGAAGUUUUCCCAGUAUUUAACAAAAUGUAGGAGUUGUAUAAAAUAUUUUCUUUCCUGAAGUAAGUAUCAAUCUGAUGAGAAUAUUUGAGCUGUAAUACAAUUUUUUAUUUUCUAUUACA